AUGCAGUCGNNNGGCAGCACAGAGGAGCUUGCUCCUUGGGUGGCGAGUGGCGGACGGGUGAGGAAUACAUCGGAAUCUACUUUUUCGUGGGGGAUAACGUAGGGAAACUUACGCUAAUACCGCAUACGACCUACGGGUGAAAGCAGGGGAUCUUCGGACCUUGCGCGAUUGAAUGAGCCGAUGUCGGAUUAGCUAGUUGGCGGGGUAAAGGCCCACCAAGGCGACGAUCCGUAGCUGGUCUGAGAGGAUGAUCAGCCACACUGGAACUGAGACACGGUCCAGACUCCUACGGGAGGCAGCAGUGGGGAAUAUUGGACAAUGGGCGCAAGCCUGAUCCAGCCAUACCGCGUGGGUGAAGAAGGCCUUCGGGUUGUAAAGCCCUUUUGUUGGGAAAGAAAUCCAGCCGGCUAUUACCUGGUUGGGAUGACGGUACCCAAAGAAUAANCACCGGCUAACUUCGUGCCAGCAGCCGCGGUAAUACGAAGGGCGCAAGCGUUACUCGGAAUUACUGGGCGUAAAGNGNGCGUAGGUGGUUAUUUNAGUCCGUUGNGAAAGCCCUGGGCUCNACCUGGGAACUGCAGUGNNNGCUGGANGACUANAANGUGGUANANGGUAGCGGAANUCCUGGU
RNAcentral lists this ribosomal RNA (629 nucleotides) under uncultured bacterium. RNAcentral's name for it is "partial 16S ribosomal RNA". It matches the Rfam family "Bacterial small subunit ribosomal RNA", at positions 55 to 674 of the family's 1533-position model. The record is from RNAcentral.